UGCCAGCAGCCGCGGUAAUACGGGGGGUGCGAGCGUUAUUCGGAAUUACUGGGCGUAAAGAGCGCGUAGGCGGUCUUUUAAGUCAGGUGUGAAAGCUCGGGGCUCAACCCCGGAAGUGCACUUGAAACUAAGAGACUUGAGUAUGGGAGAGGGAAGUGGAAUUCCUGGUGUAGCGGUGAAAUGCGUAGAUAUCAGGAGGAACAUCGGUGGCGAAGGCGACUUCCUGGACCAAUACUGACGCUGAGAUGCGAAAGCGUGGGGAGCGAACAGGAUUAGAUA
Molecule: ribosomal RNA, 279 nt
Filed under: uncultured bacterium
Lineage: Bacteria
Description: partial 16S ribosomal RNA
Rfam family: Bacterial small subunit ribosomal RNA
Source: RNAcentral